Molecule: ribosomal RNA, 468 nt
Filed under: uncultured bacterium
Lineage: Bacteria
Description: partial 16S ribosomal RNA
Rfam family: Bacterial small subunit ribosomal RNA
Source: RNAcentral
GACGAACGCUGGCGGCGUGCUUGACACAUGCCAGUCGAACGGAAAGGCCCUGCUUUUGUGGGGUGCUCGAGUGGCGAACGGGUGAGUAACACGUGAGUAACCUGCCCUUGACUUUGGGAUAACUUCAGGAAACUGGGGCUAAUACCGGAUAGGAGCUCCUGCUGCAUGGUGGGGGUUGGAAAGUUUCGGCGGUUGGGGAUGGACUCGCGGCUUAUCAGCUUGUUGGUGGGGUAGUGGCUUACCAAGGCUUUGACGGGUAGCCGGCCUGAGAGGGUGACCGGCCACAUUGGGACUGAGAUACGGCCCAGACUCCUACGGGAGGCAGCAGUGGGGAAUAUUGCACAAUGGGCGGAAGCCUGAUGCAGCAACGCCGCGUGCGGGAUGACGGCCUUCGGGUUGUAAACCGCUUUCGCCUGUGACGAAGCGUGAGUGACGGUAAUGGGUAAAGAAGCACCGGCUAACUACGUG